UAUAGGGCUAACCCUUCUCUGUAGCAAAAGAGUGGGAAGAUUCUAGAAUAGAGGUGAUACACCUACCGAGCUUAGAGAUAGCUGGUUAUUCAAGAAAAGGAUUUUAGUCCACCUUUAAGUUUCUAUAAUACUAAUACAUAAUUACCAAACUUAAAAGUCACUCAAAUAAGGUACAGCCUAUUUGAAACAGGAAACAGCCUCAAAUAUUGGGUAAUGACCACACCACAUGACUAAGUUGGCCUAAAAGCAGCCACCUUCAAAAAAGCGUCCAAGCUUUAUCAUUCCCUCCCCAUAAUUCCAUAAUUAUCUCAUAACCCACAACCACUACUGAAUAAUCUCAUAACCGUAUGAGAAACAUCAUGCUAGAACUAGUAACAAGAAGAAAGAGCUUCUCCAAAAUGUAAACGUAAGCCACAAUGAACUCUCACCGGCACUUACCGCCACAACAUAGUAUUAACCCCACAAGAAAAUUAUACUUAAGCCAGCGUUAACCUUACACUAGAACAUUCUUGGAAAGAUUUAGAGAGAGGGAAGGAACUCGGCAAACAUUA
Molecule: ribosomal RNA, 551 nt
Filed under: Cophyla puellarum
Lineage: Eukaryota; Metazoa; Chordata; Amphibia; Anura; Microhylidae
Description: partial 16S ribosomal RNA
Rfam family: Bacterial large subunit ribosomal RNA (bases 1-366)
Source: RNAcentral